GAGUCUAGCAUGUGCGCGAGUCAUUGGGACUAUAACGAAACCUAAAGGCGUAAUGAAAGUGAAGGUCCGCCUAGCGCGGGCCGAGGGAGGAUGGGUGUCCCCGAGAGGACGCCUCGCACUCCCAGGGCGUCUCGUUCUCAUUGCGAGAAGAGGCGCACCAAGAGCGUACACGCUGGGACCCGAAAGAUGGUGAACUAUGCCUGGUCAGGACGAAGUCAGGGGAAACCCUGAUGGAGGUCCGUAGCGAUUCUGACGUGCAAAUCGAUCGUCGGAACUGGGUAUAGGGGCGAAAGACUAAUCGAACCAUCUAGUAGCUGGUUCCCUCCGAAGUUUCCCUCAGGAUAGCUGGCGCUCGCUUCUCGCGAGUCUCAUUCGGUAAAGCGAAUGAUUAGAGGCAUUGGGGUCGAAACGGCCUCAACCUAUUCUCAAACUUUAAAUGGGUGAGAUCUCCGGCUUGCUUGAACUGUGAAGCCGCGAGAUAUCGGAUCAGAGUGCCAAGUGGGCCACUUUUGGUAAGCAGAACUGGCGCUGUGGGAUGAACCAAACGCUGAGUUAAAGCGCCUAAAUCGACGCUUAUGGGAUACCAUGAAAGGCGUUGGUAACUUAAGACAGCAGGACGGUGGCCAUGGAAGUCGGA
RNAcentral lists this ribosomal RNA (637 nucleotides) under Glycyphana sp. NLG-2014. RNAcentral's name for it is "eukaryotic LSU rRNA". It matches the Rfam family "Eukaryotic large subunit ribosomal RNA", at positions 671 to 1265 of the family's 3401-position model. Lineage: Eukaryota; Metazoa; Arthropoda; Insecta; Coleoptera; Scarabaeidae. The record is from RNAcentral.